AGAGAGCGUUGAUUUGAAAGGUUGCUUUGAUUUCUUAAAAGGAAUCAAAGGUUUUUUCAAGGAGCGAUGUCCAGUUCAUGAAAUGGGACGACAA
This 94-nucleotide non-coding RNA is filed under the name unclassified sequences. RNAcentral's name for it is "S10-Clostridia ribosomal protein leader". It matches the Rfam family "S10-Clostridia ribosomal protein leader". The record is from RNAcentral.